GAUAUUAAUGUUAAACAACAAAAUAAUCUCUAGUUCAAGAAAGAAAAUUCCAGUAGAGCAAGAAGGACAACCAUCUAAACAAUUAGAAUACAAUGUGAUGAAUAUCAAGAUAAACAAUUGAACACGUGAUGUAUCGAGAAGUCAGAGGUAGAAGAAUUAACUUUAAGAGGCCUCCCAUCUGCUGACAUUAACUACACAUGCUCUCCAGACACCUGUGUUCAAGGGCAGCAAACAUAAAUGAACCCCCCACCCCACUGGAAAUGCUCCAGGCCACACUGCUUUAGCCUAUUAUGCUGUACUUUAUAAUGGUCUUACUCUUUUUCAGAUAUUCUUGACAUCCACCUUGGAACAAGUACUUUAAGAUGACCAGCAGGUCACUCACUAGGCACUACUCCACAUCUUCAUCGUCAAAUGGUUUUGACCAGUGGGCAUGACCUCCAGUGCUGUCCUUCUUCACUCAUAGUGACAAUGGUUCUAUCUUUACCUUCAGAAGGAGGAGACAGAUAACAGGGCAAUGAUAAGGCUAAUAUCACAUGGCCUGGGCACCAUCCAUCUGCUGCAACAGGCUGAGUCAGAACUGCUCCCCUGAAAAAGCAGGGGCUCUGCAGAAGCCCAGGACGAGUGGGGCAGUUAUAUCCAGUGCUCAGAGGCAAGUGGCAGUGGUGGUGAUAGCAGUGCUGGGGGCCCUGAGUCUGCAGUGCCAGUGUUGGAAGCAGUACCUUUGUGUAUGGGGACAGCAAGCAGUGAUACACCAUUACUGGACCAGUCUGUGCACUACAGUAUUUGAGAUUAAUACCUGGCUACAUGGCCUUAGAAACAGUGCUGGCGAUGGACCCCACUGUUUCAAGCAAACUAAGCAGUCAAACACUGAGCUACACCCUAGGCCUAAUGACACUGACUUGACUCCAUUCUCUUUGUCUCUACUAAAUACAAGUACUUUCAUCCAUGUUUUGGUGGUAGUUCUAUAAGCAACUGAUGAAUCCUUGGUAGUUGGAAAUCAAGAAAUCUAGAAUGCUUCUAAACUUACUCUGACAAUGGAAAUAACCUAUAUCCAUGCUGUUCAAUAUGGCAGCCAGUAAACACUGACCAGUGAUUCAUUUGAUGUGACCAGUAUGACUGAGGAUUAAAUUUUAAAUUUUACUUGAUUUUAAUUAGUCUUAACAGAAAUGAUCACAGGUAUUUAGUGGCCAUAUACAAGUAUGAAACUGCUCAGCUCUAGAGGAAAAAUAAACUCAAGUGAGAGACUCAGGGCUUAUUUAAAUUGUAAUUCCUCUUACCUGGUGAUUUUAUUUCUAGAGUUCUUCACUUCUAAAACCUUAGAAGUUUUACAAUUUGUUUCAUUAAAGGAGACCAUUUAUUGUCAGUCUCUAUAUUAUAUUGCGUAGAGCUUUGGAAUUUAAAUUAGCAAUACCCUUCCACAAAGUGUUCUUUCUUUCACACAUGCCUAUGUGUUCCCUCUUCAUCACAUUGCAUCCUUCACUAUGUGGAAAAAACAUACAGGAAAAAGGGUUAAAAGGAUUGUGUACAAAGACACAAACCAUCCCCAACUUGCAAAAGGCUGCCUUGCAAAGGCUCAUGUGUGAAUUACGCUUUGGAACUUCAGAAAGUUUCUCAUUGACUUAGAAUACUAGAGCAAUCUACUAAAUUCAUUUGACACAAAAUAUAAGAGAAGAUACAUGAGUUACACAAAUAAUCAAAACAAUAAAGUAAUAGUUCUAAUAUAAAUAUAAAACUAAAAUAGAUGUGACAGUUUUUAUUUAGGGUGAGAGGAGGAAAAAGAGGAAUACAGCAUGCAUAGUUUCCUUGAGAACAGGAUACAAAAUGAUGUAGGUGAUGAAGACGCAUGAAUGGAGAAAUCAGCGACCAGCCCUGGAGUAGCUCCUCUCCACUAGCCAGCCUGGGGAAAUACUGUCUGUUCAGUGUGUACAUCACAUGCUGUCUAAGCCAUAAUGUUUCAGUCUGAAGACAUAGUGUGGGCUAUAGAAGAAAUGAGAUGAGCUGAGAGAUCAACAGGCAUUUAUCUGAGAAUGGUAAGUCUAGAAGGCAGAAUACUUGUUAAAGACACUUAUGCCUUAGUUCUUGGAAUUUAUAAUCAUGUUAUCUUACAUGGCAAAGGGGAUUCUGUGAUAUUAUUACUUAAGGAUCUUGAGAUAGAGAAAUUAUAUUGUUUGAUCCAGAUGAGCUAACCUAAUCACCCAAGUUGUUAAAAUUAGAAAACUUUUCUCUGAUACAGACAACUAGAGAGAUAGACCAAGAGAAGGACUCAGCCCAGUGCUUAACAUGGAGGACAAAAAGGGUAUCACCGACAG
Molecule: long non-coding RNA, 2309 nt
Organism: Heterocephalus glaber (naked mole-rat)
Lineage: Eukaryota; Metazoa; Chordata; Mammalia; Rodentia; Bathyergidae
Source: Ensembl